CUACGCACUCCUACGGGAGGCAGCAGUGGGGAAUAUUGCACAAUGGGCGCAAGCCUGAUGCAGCCAUGCCGCGUGUAUGAAGAAGGCCUUCGGGUUGUAAAGUACUUUCAGCAGUGAGGAAGGUGGGUAUGUUAAUAGCAUACUCAUUUGACGUUAGCUGCAGAAGAAGCACCGGCUAACUCCGUGCCAGCAGCCGCGGUAAUACGGAGGGUGCGAGCGUUAAUCGGAAUUACUGGGCGUAAAGCGCAUGCAGGUGGUUGUUAAGUCAGAUGUGAAAGCCCGGGGCUCAACCUCGGAAUUGCAUUUGAAACUGGCAAACUAGAGUACUGUAGAGGGGGUAGAAUUUCAGGUGUAGCGGUGAAAUGCGUAGAGAUCUGAAGGAAUACCGGUGGCGAAGGCGGCCCCCUGGACAGAUACUGACACUCAGAUGCGAAAGCGUGGGGAGCAAACAGGAUUAGAUACCCUGGUAG
This 470-nucleotide ribosomal RNA is filed under the name uncultured bacterium. RNAcentral's name for it is "bacterial SSU rRNA". It matches the Rfam family "Bacterial small subunit ribosomal RNA", at positions 329 to 793 of the family's 1533-position model. The record is from RNAcentral.